This 73-nucleotide transfer RNA is filed under the name Candidatus Methanofastidiosia archaeon. RNAcentral describes it as "tRNA-Ile". It matches the Rfam family "tRNA". From Rfam's summary of the family: Transfer RNA (tRNA) molecules are approximately 80 nucleotides in length. Their secondary structure includes four short double-helical elements and three loops (D, anti-codon, and T loops). Lineage: Archaea; Methanobacteriati; Methanobacteriota; Candidatus Methanofastidiosia. The record is from RNAcentral.
CCCGAUGUGGCGCAACGGUUAGCGCAAGCGGCUUAUAUCCACGAGGUUGGGGGUUCGAAUCCCUCCAUCGGGA